RNAcentral lists this ribosomal RNA (620 nucleotides) under Psilocybe semilanceata. RNAcentral's name for it is "eukaryotic LSU rRNA". It matches the Rfam family "Eukaryotic large subunit ribosomal RNA", at positions 53 to 655 of the family's 3401-position model. Lineage: Eukaryota; Fungi; Basidiomycota; Agaricomycetes; Agaricales; Agrocybaceae. The record is from RNAcentral.
GAGGAAAAGAAACUAACAAGGAUUCCCCUAGUAACUGCGAGUGAAGCGGGAAAAGCUCAAAUUUAAAAUCUGGCGGUCUUUGGCUGUCCGAGUUGUAAUCUAGAGAAGUGUUAUCCGCGCUGGACCGUGUACAAGUCUCCUGGAAUGGAGCGUCACAGAGGGUGAGAAUCCCGUCUUUGACACGGACUGCCAGGGCUUUGUGAUGCGCUCUCAAAGAGUCGAGUUGUUUGGGAAUGCAGCUCAAAAUGGGUGGUAAAUUCCAUCUAAAGCUAAAUAUUGGCGAGAGACCGAUAGCGAACAAGUACCGUGAGGGAAAGAUGAAAAGAACUUUGGAAAGAGAGUUAAACAGUACGUGAAAUUGCUGAAAGGGAAACGCUUGAAGUCAGUCGCGUUGUCCGGGGAUCAACCUUGCUUUUGCUGGGUGUACUUUCCGGUUGACGGGUCAGCAUCAAUUUUGACCGCUGGAUAAAGGUUUUGGGAAAGUGGCUUCCUCGGAAGUGUUAUAGCCCAGGGUCGCAUACAACGGUUGGGAUUGAGGAACUCAGCACGCCGAAAGGCCGGGUACUUGUACCACGUUCGUGCUUAGGAUGCUGGCAUAAUGGCUUUAAUCGACCCGUCUU